CACAGUGUGAUAAAAUGGCAUUUCACCUCUGAUCUUCCUCCAAACCCACAGCCUCAUCAGACAAAUCCCAUCCCAGGAACAUUCUGCAAAAGAGCACGUACUCCUCAAAAAUAUCAAGAUCAUCAAAACCGAGAAAAGUCUGAGGAGCCUAAGGAGACCUGACAACUAAACGUAAGGUGCUAUCCGGGAGGAAUCAUGGAACAGAAAGUGAACAUCAGGUAAAAACUAAGAAAAUCUGGAAAGGUAUGGACUUGAGUUAACAGUGACGCAUCAAAAUUGGUUCAUUAAUUGUCACAAAUGUCCCAUACUAAUAUAAGAUUCAUAACAGAGGAAACUAGUGUGGAUUAUGUGAGAAGUCUCUCUACGACACAAUUUUUUUUUCUGUAAAUAUGAAACUAUGCUAAAUAAGUUUAUUUUAAAAAUUAUUGAUGUUUUUUCAAAUGAAUUCCCCUUAAACCAUAUUCAAGUGUUCAACCAUGUUUACAAUAUUGUAACCUGGGUAAUUGUGGCUCAAGGCAGAACCAAGUAGAAUAUUAUUAUUGUAAUUUCCUUCCUAUACACUGUUUGGUUUUUCUAGUAUUUCUAUUCCUCUCUCUCUCUUUAGGCCACACCACAGCAGCUACCUGGACUGCUGCAGUGCCAGUGCCAGAAGGUUUUGUUUAGUUGUGUUGCUUUCUAGAGCCACUUCCCACAGCAUAUGGAGGUUCCCAGGCUAGGGGUCGAAUAAGAGCUACAGCUGCUGGCCUACACCACAGCUACCGCAACUCAGGAUCCAAGCCACAUCUGUGACCUACACCACAGCUCACAGCAAUGCCAUAUCCUUAACCCACUGAGCAAGGCCAGGGAUCGAACCCACAUCCUCAUGGAUAAUGGCUGAUUUCAUUACCCCUGAGCCAUGACAGGAACUUCUCCAUUUAUUUUUCCAACAGUUCCCUCACAUCCAGUAGUUUUUCUAACCUUUUUUUUUUUUUUUUUUUUUUUAACUGGAAGCCUUGCCUCCCAGAGUCCUCUGGGGCCAGUGAAGGCCAUUUUUUGAGAAGCUAAUUCAGUGUGCCCCAGGAGCCACUAGAAGACCGCAUGCCUGGACUUCUGGUGGCCUAAUCUGAUUGAAGGACAGAAUUUAACGAAACUGGAGGAGUCAGUGAAUUACAUGCACUCCCAAUAUCCUUUCCUGCUUUUCUUAACUAGUGUUGGUGGGGUGAAGUCCAUACAACGCCAAAACAAUGGUAUGUGGUAUUUCAAUUAGCCCAAUAGCUUUGGUGCCUUCAAGAACCUUCUAGGAUGCAGCAGCCAUCAAUUAAUUCAUCACUGCUGCUAGGGUAUUGACAAUCAACCAUAUAAAUCCACCUGCUAUACCAUCACUCUGUCCACAUUUCUUCAUUUGAUGCACAAAGACCCAUGACAGACUGACAAACUCAUGGACUUCAGAUACAACAAUUUUUAAAUUUCUCUCCAUCUAGCAUCCCUAAACAACAAUAACAACAACAAAAAAGAGGUUUGAGGACAAAUGAACUUUUUUUUUUGCACAGUGUAAUGCCUAUUUUUCACAGAAUAAUAUAUAUUUACAUUUGCGCUCAUGAAUGCCAGCCACAGGUUUUUAAUUUCAUAAAACCCGUACCUACCACAUAGCAAAUGUUCAGGACUUUUCUUGAGGUUAUUUGACUUACCUAGCAUCUGAAUGUGAAGGUCAGUUUUUUCAUUCAUUUUAACUUCUGUUUUCUCCCAAAUCAAAAUAUGUGUUUUGGCUAUCUUGAGGGAGCUUUCCCAGGAAAAGUCUCCUUUUUGACUGUUAGUAAGUUAGAUCACUUACCGUCUCUAACUCGGUGGAGACAAUUCGGAAAAGAUUAACCAUAAUCUCUAGGCUGCUGGUUCGCUUUUCAUUUCCUUGCAUUUCAAACCCCGUUCAUUAUUGUGCAUUAGCCUCUCACUUGACAGGCAGGUGCUUGGCAAAUGUGUACUGAUUUGAUUUAAUUUAGAAAAACACCUUAUGAGCGAAACACUAUAGUUCGAUUGGCAAAAUUGGCUUCAGAUUGCCUUCACCUUGUUUCUAAAUGGUUAUCACAAUCCCGAAAGGACUGCCUGACCCAGUGUGCAAAUGAGUCACUGUAACACCCCCGCAUCCUCACCCUCCCCCACAAAGGAAAAGAGAUAAACAUUGACGUGCCAGGAAAUGAAGAACUGAAUCCCCCUCAAAACCACCAAAUUCCCAGCCCAGGUAGCCUUCUUGAUGUAACUACACCUUUGUCCUUUCCCAUUUAUCUCCUGACUUUCAAAUGCAUCCGAACUCAUGUUAUCUGAUUCUGAAACUGGCCAGAUUUUUACUAGUAAAGGCAUAGAGAUGAGUUUACUGCUCAAUGUUGGAGUAAAAGCAGGAGGCUGCAGGGGGUUUCUUGUCCUCGUCAGCAACGACAGUGGCCCCUUUGUGUUUCCAGACUCUCAGGGGCUUGGCCCUCCCCUUUUCUGGGAGAGCUCAUUGCUCUCCGACAUGCUGGGCUUCGGCCAGGUCUGGUCUUCAGGUCGCCCCAGUCCCCUGGGGCAGCCCCACCAACGGUGAACACAGUGACUCCCUGUCCUCAGGGGCUGGGCUUCCAGAAAGUGGCCUGCCCACUUUGUGAACCUAAUACUUGAUAGAAGACGUCCGAUUAUGGACACCAAAUUCUCUCUCCUAGGAGAUCUGAACCUGCAAGCCACUCUUUGUUAAGACCUUUUAUUUUCCCUGGAAAGCCCUUGCCAAACGUUGGCCACAUUUCACUCUGUCUGAUCCACGCUUUUUAUCUCUUCUCGACCAGACAAAUGCAUAAUAAAGCUUCAUUGGCUGGAUGAACAGGCAAUCCAUCUUCAGGACUGUAUGGACACGAUGCUCCUGCUGGGCCAACGGGCUGUACGAAGGGCCCCUAAAGUAUUUCUCAGAUUCUGGCAGAACAGCUCUGAUGGUCCCGGACAAAGGCCUUACAAUUUCUAAGGGAUUUAGACCCCUGGAUUUGAUCAGUGUCAGUGGUUCUCUGAGUCCUCAGCCAUCGUUUCUCAGUCUUUUGGCUAAGAUCAAGUGCUGAGUCCUCAGCCACCCAGCCCACAGUGGGUGUAAUGGAUUUAGAUGUGAAGGGGCGGAAUUAUGGAAUGCAAACAUCACUUGGCAAGUGACCAUUCUGACAGAUGCAAAUAUAAAUCUCUUUGCAAACUCUGCCUUUGGCGUUUGUUUGCAUCCAAAGAUACCCGUCAGGAAGCUUUACAUCCCCAGCAUGAGUAAAGGGCCUGGCCCACGUCUGUACAUGCACAAAGGACAGUGAGACGGGGAGAAGUCCAGCGAUACUAAGCUCUGGUUAGUCCUCUUUAUUUUUAUUUUUUAAAUGAUUUUUAUUUUUUUCAUCAUAGCUGGUUUACAAUGUUCUGUCAGUUUUCUACUGUGCAGCAAGGUGACCCCGUCACACAUACACAUAUACAUUCCUUUUUCUUACAUUAUCAUGCUCCAUCCUAAGUGACUAGACAUAGUUCCCAGUGCUACACAGCAGGAUCUCAUUGCUGAUCCAUUCCAAAGGCAAUAGUUUGCAUCUAUUAAUAGGUCAGGGUGGCCCCAGACAACAGGGAAAAAGAAAGCCUGCUGAGGUCUCCCACUGCCCUGGGCUGUCAGGAGGAAGGGUGGAGUCAGAAAUGGGUGGGGCAGGAGUCUAGGAAAGAGUAGAUGAUGCAGAGGCCUCUGUUAGGCACCGUGGGCGUAUACCUGGCUAGACUGUCUCCUUUUUGCUUUUUGCUCAGGAAACAGUAUAGUAGUAAAUAACUGAAGAGGGUUAUUUACUAUAGAAAAAUAUUUUUCUCUUUUACUAUAGAAAAAAUCUUGCACAAACUUUGCCCACAAGCCUUCCUGUUCAUCCCUACACUUGUUCAGAAAUGUAUUGAGCAACUAUGAUCCUAAAUAAUGCUCUAGAUUCUGAUGUCUCAGCAGAGGAUGAGCCAGAGACGUUCCCUGCCCUUCUAGAGAGUAUCUUCUAAUAGAGGAGGUGGAGAAUGAACAAGCAUAUAUACCAGACAAUUUUAGUUGAUGAUAAAUGUUAGGAAGGGGUGGGGACCAUGAGAAGCCCUCUCCAAGGAAGGUGAUGUUUUAGUUGAGAACCAAAGGGUGAAAAGGAGGUUCUCCUUGUGUGAUGAUCUAGGGAAGAGUUCCAAGCAGAAUGAAGAGCAAGUGCAAAGGCCCUGAGACAGGAAACACCUGGGGGUGGGGGGAACCCAAGAGGCAGGAGCACAGUGAGUAGGGCAGAGAACAUGGGAUGCAUUGAGUGUCAGACAGAGGCUCCAUCAUGUGAAAGGGUCAGGUCAUAGCAAGGAGUUGGUAUUUUAGAUUUGUUAAAAUGGGAGUAGAGAGGGCAGUCAGUAGGUGGCUUUGGGUUAAGUUUCAUAGGAUUCCUAUCACCUGGUAAAGUCAUGUAAUACUCAAGGUCACAAAAAAAGAUCAGAUUUUGGGUAACUAUGCUAAAUAUUUCAACCACAUUGCCAAUCGGAACCAUAGCCUCUACCAAAGAAAGUUUCUCUUCUCACAGAUCUACUUAA
Molecule: long non-coding RNA, 4542 nt
Filed under: Sus scrofa (pig)
Lineage: Eukaryota; Metazoa; Chordata; Mammalia; Artiodactyla; Suidae
Description: lncRNA (ENSSSCG00000054455.1)
Source: RNAcentral